Molecule: ribosomal RNA, 432 nt
Filed under: uncultured bacterium
Lineage: Bacteria
Description: partial 16S ribosomal RNA
Rfam family: Bacterial small subunit ribosomal RNA
Source: RNAcentral
AACGAACGCUGGCGGCAUGCCUAACACAUGCAAGUCGAACGAGACCUUCGGGUCUUGUGUCGCACGGGUUCGUAACGCGUGGGAACCUGCCCUUAGGUUUGGAAUAACUCCCCGAAAGGGGUGCUAAUACCGGACAAUGUCUUCUGACCAAAGAUUUAUCGCCUUUGGGUGGGCCCGCGUUGGAUUAGCUAGUUGGUAGGGUAAAAGCCUACCAAGGCGACGAUCCAUAGCUGGUCUGAGUGGAUGAUCAGCCACACUGGGACAGAGACACGGCCCAGACUCCUACGGGAGGCAGCAGUGGUGAAGAUUGGACACUGCGCGAAAGCCUGAGCCAGCAGUGCCGCGUGAGUGAUGAAGGCCUUAGGGUUGUAAGGCUCUUUUACCCGGGAUGAUAAGGACAGUACCGGGAGAAUAAGCUCCGGCUAAUUCCGU